RNAcentral lists this ribosomal RNA (492 nucleotides) under uncultured bacterium. Its description in RNAcentral is "partial 16S ribosomal RNA". It matches the Rfam family "Bacterial small subunit ribosomal RNA", at positions 29 to 507 of the family's 1533-position model. The record is from RNAcentral.
AGUGAACGCUGGCGGUAGGCCUAACACAUGUAAGUCGAACGGCAGCACGGUAAGAGCUUGCUCUUACGGGUGGCGAGUGGCGGACGGGUGAGGAAUACAUCGGAAUCUACUUUUUCGUGGGGGAUAACGUAGGGAAACUUACGCUAAUACCGCAUACGACCUACGGGUGAAAGCAGGGGAUCUUCGGACCUUGCGCGAUUGAAUGAGCCGAUGUCGGAUUAGCUAGUUGGCGGGGUAAAGGCCCACCAAGGCGACGAUCCGUAGCUGGUCUGAGAGGAUGAUCAGCCACACUGGAACUGAGACACGGUCCAGACUCCUACGGGAGGCAGCAGUGUGGAAUAUUGGACAAUGGGCGCAAGCCUGAUCCAGCCAUACCGCGUGGGUGAAGAAGGCCUUCGGGUUGUAAAGCCCUUUUGUUGGGAAAGAAAAGCAGCAGGUUAAUACCCCGCUGUUCUGACGGUACCCAAAGAAUAAGCACCGGCUAACUUCGUG